Molecule: ribosomal RNA, 447 nt
Filed under: uncultured bacterium
Lineage: Bacteria
Description: bacterial SSU rRNA
Rfam family: Bacterial small subunit ribosomal RNA
Source: RNAcentral
AACGAACGCUGGCGGCAGGCCUAACACAUGCAAGUCGAACGCCGUAGCAAUACGGAGUGGCAGACGGGUGAGUAACACGUGGGAACGUACCCUUCGGUUCGGAAUAACUCAGGGAAACUUGAGCUAAUACCGGAUACGUCCGAGAGGAGAAAGAUUUAUCGCCGAGGGAUCGGCCCGCGUCUGAUUAGCUUGUUGGUGAGGUAACGGCUCACCAAGGCGACGAUCAGUAGCUGGUCGAGAGGAUGAUCAGCCACAUUGGGACUGAGACACGGCCCAAACUCCUACGGGAGGCAGCAGUGGGGAAUAUUGGACAAUGGGCGCAAGCCUGAUCCAGCCAUGCCGCGUGAGUGAUGAAGGCCUAGGGUUGUAAAGCUCUUUUACCGGGAAGAUAAUGACUGUACCGGGAGAAUAACGCCCCGGCUAACUUCGUGCCAGCAGCCGCGGUAA